AGUCGUAACAAGGUUUCCGUAGGUGAACCUGCGGAAGGAUCAUUACAAUAAAGCUGGUGGAAGUAGGGGUCCUUGAGUCAUGAUAAGUGGUAGAGGCUGCAACAGUCCGGCUGCCUACCCGAAAUUGUCUUACAAUGUCCCCCACAGCCUAAGGCCGAAUUACAACCUUGAUUAUCUACACUUGUUGCUUUGGGGUCUCAAGUGCCCCCAAGAGGACCCAACUCUCUUGCCAUUUAGUGACGUCUGAUGUACUAUAUAAUAUUUAAAAC
This 269-nucleotide unclassified non-coding RNA is filed under the name plant metagenome. Its description in RNAcentral is "partial contains small subunit ribosomal RNA and internal transcribed spacer 1". The stretch from base 1 to 45 matches the Rfam family "Eukaryotic small subunit ribosomal RNA", at positions 1787 to 1831 of the family's 1831-position model. The record is from RNAcentral.